This is a long non-coding RNA of Ctenopharyngodon idella (grass carp), 309 nucleotides long. RefSeq lists it as uncharacterized. The record is from RefSeq and is a predicted model, not a curated record. NCBI's taxonomy places the organism in Eukaryota, Metazoa, Chordata, Actinopteri, Cypriniformes, Xenocyprididae. The transcript is spliced from 3 exons.
GCCCUUAAUGCACACUAAACCCACACUGUCUUGAAUACUGCUUCGGAGCAGUAUUUUAGGCUAAGCGUAUCCCAUCAUGCAUUAUGUUCGGGAACUCAAAUGCCCUGAAAUCGCGAGAUGUAAAGGAAAACAUACGACUGUCUGCUGUGUCCUCCUCAGUUUAAUUGCUGGAAAUAGACAUCUGGUGUAAUUAUGAUAAGCUAUUGCAGCUCAAAAUGCAACAAAAUGAAAGCCAACAGAAGUGGAAUAAGACUCACAUUAAUGGAGCAGCCCAGUAAUGAGCCCAGCGUCAGUGCUUUCUGCAUGAGC